CGUAGCCGCGGUAACACGUAGGUGGCAAGCGUUGUCCGGAAUUAUUGGGCGUAAAGGGCUCGCAGGCGGUUUCCUAAGUCUGAUGUGAAAGCCCCCGGCUCAACCGGGGAGGGUCAUUGGAAACUGGGAAACUUGAGUGCAGAAGAGGAGAGUGGAAUUCCACGUGUAGCGGUGAAAUGCGUAGAGAUGUGGAGGAACACCAGUGGCGAAGGCGACUCUCUGGUCUGUAACUGACGCUGAGGAGCGAAAGCGUGGGGAGCGAACAGGAUUAGAGACCCGCGUAGUCCCUGUCUCUUAUACA
This 301-nucleotide ribosomal RNA is filed under the name uncultured bacterium. RNAcentral's name for it is "partial 16S ribosomal RNA". It matches the Rfam family "Bacterial small subunit ribosomal RNA", at positions 510 to 808 of the family's 1533-position model. The record is from RNAcentral.